CGAAAAUAUGAUUUGUAAGGGGUGAGAUGAAACAAUCGUAGAUAUAGAAAAUGUAAGCUUUUGACAUUUAUUGCUUAAACAUGCAUUACAAUGAGAGUGUUGUGGCUUAGAAUACGGUAAAGAAAAUGUUGACAUAAUAUGCUGAAGAAUAGGUGUUGAUGGAUGACCUAAUUUGGAGUGCCACUCGGAGAAAGUGGUCUUGACGCUGGAAAAGACAAUGAGCGGAGAGGACAAUGUUGGAGAGGAGGUUGGCCACUCAUAGAUGCCAUCUUUAGUGUUUCCAAUCGAAAGGAUUGCCCCCGUGCUCAGAUCCUUUAUAUGAAAGACAGUGGGUAAGAAUUCAAUAGAAACAUGAUUAAUAUUGUAAAAUUGAUAGAUAGAAAUAAGGUUCUUUUUUAUAUUAGGUAUGCAAAGAAUAUUACGUAAAUUAAAGGUACGAGUAGGAGUAGGAAGUGUGGUGGAACCAGUAUAGGUAAUGUGAAGACCCGAGCCAUCGCUGAUCAUAACGUCAUCAGACCCUGCAUAAGGAGUGUGAAGUGAAAGAUUAUUCAAAUCCGUGGUGACAUGGUGCGACGCCCCACUAUCAAGUAUCCAUUUGGGGGUGUCAGUGGUGUCAAGAGAUGCAAAGUGUGCACGCGAUUGCCAAGGAGAAACAUGAUGUGGAGCCUGUGGGCGUG
RNAcentral lists this long non-coding RNA (677 nucleotides) under Olea europaea subsp. europaea. Lineage: Eukaryota; Viridiplantae; Streptophyta; Magnoliopsida; Lamiales; Oleaceae. The record is from RNAcentral.